This 253-nucleotide ribosomal RNA is filed under the name uncultured bacterium. Its description in RNAcentral is "partial 16S ribosomal RNA". It matches the Rfam family "Bacterial small subunit ribosomal RNA", at positions 524 to 776 of the family's 1533-position model. The record is from RNAcentral.
UACGUAGGGUGCAAGCGUUAAUCGGAAUUACUGGGCGUAAAGCGUGCGCAGGCGGUGAUGUAAGACAGGUGUGAAAUCCCCGGGCUUAACCUGGGAACUGCAUUUGUGACUGCAUCGCUGGAGUGCGGCAGAGGGGGAUGGAAUUCCGCGUGUAGCAGUGAAAUGCGUAGAGAUCCGGAGGAACACCAAAGGCGAAGGCAGUGUCCUGGGGAGUACCUGACGCUCAGGUGCGAAAGCCAGGGGAGCGAACGGG